Molecule: RNA transcript, 461 nt
Organism: Sceloporus undulatus (fence lizard)
Lineage: Eukaryota; Metazoa; Chordata; Lepidosauria; Squamata; Phrynosomatidae
Gene name: lysozyme C-like
Exons: 4
Source: RefSeq, a predicted model, not a curated record
UGAGGCUGCUAGUUGUCAUUGCACUAUUCAGCUUUGUCCUUGUGGCAAGCGAAGCCCGGAUAGUUGACAGAUGUGAGCUAGCAAAGGAACUUAGAUACUGGGGGCUGGAUGGAUAUCUUGGUUUUACCCUGGGUGACUGGCUUUGUAUAAUCUUUAAUGAAAGUGGCUACAACACUAAACCUCCAAUGAGUAAUAAAGGAGUUAAAUUAUAUGGGUUGUUCAGGAUUAACCAUCAAUACUGGUGCUCUGAUGGUGUUGAGCCCACAAAGAACCAAUGCAAAGUUGCCUGUCAAAAGCUAACUGAUGAUGACAUCAAGGAUGAUAUUUUGUGUGCCAAAAAAAUUCUAGAGAUGUCUAUGAGCCUUAAGGCCUGGCCAGUCUGGCAGAGAAUGUGUUAUAUGAAAGACCUUUCCAGUUAUCUUCAAGGCUGUCCACUCUGAAAUCCCAAUUCUGGCUGGCAU